This 497-nucleotide ribosomal RNA is filed under the name uncultured bacterium. RNAcentral's name for it is "partial 16S ribosomal RNA". It matches the Rfam family "Bacterial small subunit ribosomal RNA", at positions 28 to 507 of the family's 1533-position model. The record is from RNAcentral.
GACGAACGCUGGCGGCGUGCCUAAUACAUGCAAGUUGAGCGCUGAAGGCUGGUACUUGUACCAACUGGAUGAGCAGCGAACGGGUGAGUAACGCGUGGGGAAUCUGCCUUUGAGCGGGGGACAACAUGUGGAAACGAAUGCUAAUACCGCAUAAAAACUUUAAACACAAGUUUUAAGUUUGAAAGAUGCAAUUGCAUCACUCAAAGAUGAUCCCGCGUUGUAUUAGCUAGUUGGUGAGGUAAAGGCUCACCAAGGCGAUGAUACAUAGCCGACCUGAGAGGGUGAUCAGCCACAUUGGGACGGAGACACGGCCCAAACUCCUACGGGAGGCAGCAGUAGGGAAUCGUCGGCAAUGGGCGAAAGUCUGACCGAGCAACGCCGAGUGAGGGAAGAAGGUUUUCGGAUCGUAAAACUCUGUUGGUAGAGAAGAACGUUGGUGAGAGUGGAAAGCUCACCAAGUGACGGUAACUACCCAGAAAAGGACGGCUAACUACGUG